GUCCACGCCGUAAACGAUGGAUACUAAGCAUUGGAAGUAUCGACCCUUCCAGUGCUGCUAAUUUAAGUUAACACGUUAAGUAUCCCGCCUGGGGAGUACGGCCGCAAGGCUAAAACUCAAAGGAAUAGACGGGGACCCGCACAAGCGGUGGAGCAUGUGGUUUAAUUCGACGAUAAGCGAGGAACCUCACCAAGGUUUGACAUGUAGCUGCAAGGCCUGGAAACAGGUCCGCCUUCGAGGGUGCUACACAGAUGCUGCAUGGUUGUCGU
This 269-nucleotide ribosomal RNA is filed under the name uncultured bacterium. RNAcentral describes it as "partial 16S ribosomal RNA". It matches the Rfam family "Bacterial small subunit ribosomal RNA", at positions 793 to 1055 of the family's 1533-position model. The record is from RNAcentral.